CCCAAGCAAGGCAAAGGCAGAGGAGGUCCCGGCAAACAAGAAACUGCAACUGUGAUGCCACCCCUCCACCCCCACCCCCACCACAACCUGCCUUCCAAGCCGUCGUCUUUAUCUGCGCCGCCUCCUCCGCAGUGGGGCGCGGGGGGGCACCCACAGCGGCACUCUUCUCCCCCUCCUGCAGCGGCGGCGGCGGCGGCUGCUGCCCGUCGCCGUCGCCGUCGCCGUCCUUGUUCUGGUCCUGAGGCCGGGCCCGGAGGGGGAAGGCGACCCCUGGCGAGUGAACUAGAUAACAGAGAAUAGACGGAUAGUCCAGGAGGGGGGAGGGGGGUACAGGCAUAGCACUGCCGCUGCUGACACCCCCUGCCGCAGGAACCAGCUGCGAGCGGUGUGCGAGUGUACGGAUUGGUACUGUUCAGGGACGGAAAGCUGGUCUCUGGCCAAUGCCGUACUUAGGUCAUGGCCGUCAUGGGGCGUCAUGGGGGCAGUACGGCGCAGAGACCGUCGUACAUGACACAUACACACACACGGCACUCGGUACACGAGCCAGAAUCCCCGUCUUCCAGCCCCCAGCUCCUGUUCCCUCUCCCACCACCGACUUGCCGUACCCUUUCCAAGAUGAAGUCCAUUCGCCUACGAGCGGUCCGACUGGUGCGGGUGGGGGGGG
Molecule: long non-coding RNA, 664 nt
Filed under: Volvox carteri
Lineage: Eukaryota; Viridiplantae; Chlorophyta; Chlorophyceae; Chlamydomonadales; Volvocaceae
Description: long non-coding RNA (VCAR_LNC002293)
Source: RNAcentral